RNAcentral lists this ribosomal RNA (460 nucleotides) under uncultured bacterium. RNAcentral's name for it is "partial 16S ribosomal RNA". It matches the Rfam family "Bacterial small subunit ribosomal RNA", at positions 338 to 795 of the family's 1533-position model. The record is from RNAcentral.
CCUACGGGAGGCAGCAGUGAGGAAUAUUGGUCAAUGGCCGGAAGGCUGAACCAGCCAUGCCGCGUGAAGGUCAGUGCCCUAUGGGCGUUAAACUUCUUUUGUGCGGGAGCAAUAAUGGUCACGUGUGGCCAGACGAGAGUACCGUACGAAUAAGCAUCGGCUAACUCCGUGCCAGCAGCCGCGGUAAUACGGGGGAUGCAAGCGUUAUCCGGAUUUAUUGGGGUUAAAGGGUGCGUAGGCUGUGAGGUAAGUCAGCGGUGAAAUGCCCCCGCUCAACGGGGUGAAGUGCCAUUGAUACUGCCUUGCUGGAAUGCGGAUGCCGUGGGAGGAAUGUGUGGUGUAGCGGUGAAAUGCAUAGAUAUCACACAGAACACCGAUUGCGAAGGCAUCUCACGAAUCCGCGAUUGACGCUGAUGCACGAAAGCGUGGAUAUCAAACAGGAUUAGAUACCCCUGUAGUC